AUUGAACGCUGGCGGCAGGCCUAACACAUGCAAGUCGAGCGGAGCGGCGGACGGGUGAGUAAUGCCUAGGGAUCUACCUGGUAGUGGGGGAUACCGUCCGGGAGGGGGCGCUUAUAGCGCAUACUAUCAGAUGAGUCUAGGUCGUAUUAGCUAGUUGGAGGGGUAAAGGCUUACCAAGGCGACGAUCCUUACCUGGUCUGAGAGGAUGAUCCGUCACACUGGAACGGAGACACGGUCCAGACUCCUACGGGAGGCAGCAGUGGGGAAUAUUGGACAAUGGGCGAAAGCCUGAUCCAGCCAUGCCGCGGGUGUGAAGAAGGUCUUCGGAUUGUAAAGCACUUUAAGUUGGGAGGCGUUACCUACAGAAUAAGCACCGGCUAACUUCGUGCCAGCAGCCGCGGUAAUUC
Molecule: ribosomal RNA, 407 nt
Filed under: uncultured bacterium
Lineage: Bacteria
Description: partial 16S ribosomal RNA
Rfam family: Bacterial small subunit ribosomal RNA
Source: RNAcentral